UUUGAUCAUGGCUCAGAUUGAACGCUGGCGGCAGGCCUAACACAUGCAAGUCGAACGGUAACAGGAAGCAGCUUGCUGUUUCGCUGACGAGUGGCGGACGGGUGAGUAAUGUCUGGGAAACUGCCUGAUGGAGGGGGAUAACUACUGGAAACGGUAGCUAAUACCGCAUAACGUCGCAAGACCAAAGAGGGGGACCUUCGGGCCUCUUGCCAUCGGAUGUGCCCAGAUGGGAUUAGCUAGUAGGUGGGGUAACGGCUCACCUAGGCGACGAUCCCUAGCUGGUCUGAGAGGAUGACCAGCCACACUGGAACUGAGACACGGUCCAGACUCCUACGGGAGGCAGCAGUGGGGAAUAUUGCACAAUGGGCGCAAGCCUGAUGCAGCCAUGCCGCGUGUAUGAAGAAGGCCUUCGGGUUGUAAAGUACUUUCAGCGGGGAGGAAGGGAGUAAAGUUAAUACCUUUGCUCAUUGACGUUACCCGCAGAAGAAGCACCGGCUAACUCCGUGCCAGCAGCCGCGGUAAUACGGAGGGUGCAAGCGUUAAUCGGAAUUACUGGGCGUAAAGCGCACGCAGGCGGUUUGUUAAGUCAGAUGUGAAAUCCCCGGGCUCAACCUGGGAACUGCAUCUGAUACUGGCAAGCUUGAGUCUCGUAGAGGGGGGUAGAAUUCCAGGUGUAGCGGUGAAAUGCGUAGAGAUCUGGAGGAAUACCGGUGGCGAAGGCGGCCCCCUGGACGAAGACUGACGCUCAGGUGCGAAAGCGUGGGGAGCAAACAGGAUU
RNAcentral lists this ribosomal RNA (778 nucleotides) under Escherichia coli. RNAcentral describes it as "bacterial SSU rRNA". It matches the Rfam family "Bacterial small subunit ribosomal RNA", at positions 12 to 779 of the family's 1533-position model. Lineage: Bacteria; Pseudomonadati; Pseudomonadota; Gammaproteobacteria; Enterobacterales; Enterobacteriaceae. The record is from RNAcentral.